This 253-nucleotide ribosomal RNA is filed under the name uncultured bacterium. RNAcentral's name for it is "partial 16S ribosomal RNA". It matches the Rfam family "Bacterial small subunit ribosomal RNA", at positions 524 to 776 of the family's 1533-position model. The record is from RNAcentral.
UACGAAGGGGGCUAGCGUUGCUCGGAAUCACUGGGCGUAAAGGGUGCGUAGGCGGUCCCUUAAGUCAGUGGUGAAAUACUCUAGCUCAACUAGAGAGGUGCCAUUGAUACUGAGGGACUUGAGUGAAGUCGAAGUAGGCGGAAUUGACGGUGUAGCGGUGAAAUGCUUAGAUAUCGUCAAGAACACCGAUAGUGAAGACAGCUUACUAGACUUAUACUGACGCUGAGGCACGAAAGUGUGGGGAUCAAACAGG